Molecule: long non-coding RNA, 1946 nt
Organism: Brassica napus (rape)
Lineage: Eukaryota; Viridiplantae; Streptophyta; Magnoliopsida; Brassicales; Brassicaceae
Exons: 2
Source: RefSeq, a predicted model, not a curated record
CUCAUUAAACAAAACGCAGCGCUCCAUCCUAAUUCUCGCCUUUGUUCAUGCGAGUCUGAUUUCGGCGAGAAUGACGAUCGAUAGUUCUCGCUGUCUGUAACGGAACUCGACUUUAAUGGCAUUAAUACAGACGCAGUACGAGCCCUUCGAUGCGUCGUUUCCGUCGGCGAGUCUCUGCUAUAAAUUUGCUCUAAGACUGCGAUGUUUGGCCUCACCCUAACGCAUUCAGAGAAGCUCAACUCUGUCAGCGACAAUCUGUACCAAUAGAUCGGAGAAGUUGCGAAUCCAUAUAAGAAGGUAAUCUUUGUAAUUGGCCAAACCUUGGCUCCUUUUGUUGAAGACAACUGCAUCCCCUGUUUCGGGUUUGGCCGCUGUGAGUUUGUUUCCCUAUAAAAAUCUUAUCUUCGAUCUAUACUACUCACUAUGUUUUCUUCCAUCAUUAUUCAGCAACGAACCAUGACGAGAAAGUCUUCAGCUUCCACUGUGACAUGUAAAGUUUAAAGCUUUUUAAAAGAAAGAAAAAACAGAUUUUGGAUACUUAAUGUGAAGGUCACGUUCUGAAUGUGAAGGUGACAAGAGGUUUGGCUAUGACCUAGGAAGAAUUCAGUCAACAAGAGAAAUCAACUAUGGAAGCCAUUGUUGACGAGAGGUAAAAGAACGUGCAAUAUUUUCUUCUUAAAUUCAGCAACUUUGUUUUUCCACAAGCUAAUUUUCUGGAGUUCCUUUAACAUUGCAGCUCAUAUGCUUUGUCGAUUUGUUAUAGUCAGUGUUGAAGACGUCCCAUGGGCAGACAUGAGGAAGUUCGAUGACAUGAUCCCUAAGCGUGAAUUCAAUAACUUUCUUCUCCGAUUUGAAGUCCGCCAAGAAUUUUUUUUCCGAUUUGAAGUCAGGUAACACCAGUUUUGGCUCCCAAUACUGCAAAAUUUUGUUCCUUUUCUAGAGUAACAGUCUUUUGAUUCCCUUGGAUUGCAGGCUAAACUUGCUUUAGAGGCUCUUGAAUUUCCUGUGGGGGUAUCUAAUUUUUUUUACUUUUCUUUAUCCCAGUUGCUCUUUCUCGAUACUAUUAUCAAUUAAAUUAUUAUCUUUCUGUUUGUCUGGAUCAGAUGUGUCAUUCUUGAGGAGGGUAACAUCGUUGCUUCAGGGCUUAACCGAACUAAUGAGACAGGCAAUGUAAUCUUUUAUAAACUUUUACCUAUUUCUCUGUAUGAGUAACUCUGAAACAUAAAACAAUGCGAUGACAUAGAGUGUUUAUUGAUUGUCAUGUUGGUUGCUUCGUCUAUGCUACUUACUAAGUCGUUUGUUAUAAUUUUGUUCAGAGAGGCCACAAGACAUGCAGAGAUGAAGCAAUCGAUGAACUUAUUGGACAAUGGCAAAAAGAUAGACUUUCACCUUCACAAGUCGCUGAGAAAUUCUCGAAAUGCGUUCUUUACGUAACAUGUGAACCUUGCAUAAUGUGUGCAUCGACCCUAUCCUUCCUCGUGAAGAAGCUCAAAGAGGAAAAGUGCAGAGGAAUAAUGGCAGACGCAGCUGUAUCUCUUUUCAACUCUGUUCUUUGAUGAAACAUCUUAAACACAGUUUUUUUUUUUUUUUUGUAGUUUUAGCCCCAAAGCCACACCGCCCUGUAGUUCAAAGAGAGAGGACUUAGCCUCUUAGACGCGGACAUGGUUUGAAAAUUGGAGUUUCUGAUUAAAAUAUGAAGAAGUUGAGGUGGAGGUUGUCAAAUGAUGAUUCUAUGUUUGUUUUUGCUACAUUUGGCACAUGAAACGUUAUCAAUUACAUCCAAAACAAUUGUAUAUCCGCCUAAGUUGGAGCUCUCAAUCUCAAGCUACUAAGUUGGUUUUCUAACUUAAGGAAUUAGUUGUAUGUGACUGUAAAGUUUUAUUUUUGUACGGGUAGAUGAUAGACAUGACCAUCACUAGAAGAAUAAAAGAUUAACUCAGUUUUUA